RNAcentral lists this transfer RNA (89 nucleotides) under Armatimonadia bacterium. RNAcentral's name for it is "tRNA-Leu". It matches the Rfam family "tRNA". From Rfam's summary of the family: Transfer RNA (tRNA) molecules are approximately 80 nucleotides in length. Their secondary structure includes four short double-helical elements and three loops (D, anti-codon, and T loops). Lineage: Bacteria; Bacillati; Armatimonadota; Armatimonadia. The record is from RNAcentral.
GCCGAGGUGGCGGAAUUGGCAGACGCGCUAGGUUGAGGGCCUAGUGAAGGUAUUCCUUCGUGGGGGUUCAACUCCCCCCCUCGGCACCA